Gadus morhua (Atlantic cod) is the source of this 1292-nucleotide long non-coding RNA. The record is from Ensembl. NCBI's taxonomy places the organism in Eukaryota, Metazoa, Chordata, Actinopteri, Gadiformes, Gadidae.
UUAUAAACCUGACCUUUUUAGAGAGAGAGAGAGAGAGAGAGAGAGAGAGAGAGAGAGAGAGAGAGAGAGAGAGAGAGAGAGAGAGAGAGAGAGACUCAUUCACCGCGUCUCUCCCCUCUGAUCGUGAAUACGAGUUUCUAGUUGUUACGUUAAUCUCACCCCACCCUGGAACGCUUAUUUUGUUGCGUCUACAGACUAGACCCCUCGGUCAUCCGUCGACGGACGGAGGUAGUGUGAAUGCGCCCUGGCCUGAAUACGCGCGGACCAUGGACCUCUAAAGACCGUUUGGAAUGCGCCCGGACCGUUUUGAGUACACCAUCCGGGUCCUUUCAGUGCACUGCUUUCCCCCCGAUCGUAAUUGGAACGCCCUAAUCAAACUAAGUAUAUCUGUUUGUGUUGCAAUGGCCAUGAGACAUACCAUUGACCGCCAGCAUCCCAGCUACAAAGAGGGGAAACGUAAAUUGCUUGAAAGUAAACAAGACCACCUUAUAGCUGAAGCUGAGAGAGCCGUUGAGGAGAGGAAACGUGCGCGUUCUGGUGGAGGACCUCCAUGUGGCUCCACUAGUGACGGUGCAAGACGAGAAAAGUUUGUGGAGAGGCUUUCAUCUCUAAAUGCCUCUGGUCCUUCUGCCAAGCCUCAAAGAAGCUCUGCAUCUUCAUGGACUUUUCGGCAGCAGAAAGCCUCAGAGCGCUGGACAGAAGCACGACCAAACCACCUACAAGGCCUCAUUGAAAAGGAGGCUGUUGGUCAUCCCUUGUGUUGCCUCUGCCCCAAGCCGGCUGUUAUUAGGUGCAGAGAGUGUCUCCCUGAAGAGUGGUUCUGUGGGGACUGCGAUGUACUGCAUCACAAAAAACAGCCACUCCACAACAGGGAAUGUCUGAUACGUGGGUUCUUUGAACCCAUUCCUCCAACCACACGCGUCAUGAAAGGGGAGGAUGGAUAUUUCACUCAGGAGCAAGCUUGCAUCUUGCCAACUGUGAGUGUGUCAAACUGCGUCUGCGAUGGCACAACCUUCACUGUGUUACCAGGCAAACCAGUGAUUUUAAUUAACAUCAAUGGACGUUAUGACUUGCAUCAGCCACUGUAUGUAUGUCAGACGUGCCAGCAGCAGAGGACCCCUGACAUGAAGCACUUCCUUCAGAGUGGAUAUUGGCCAGCCUCUCUCAAUACUUCCACGUUGUACACGUUGGACCUCUUGAGCUCCUUUCAGGAACUGAAAGUAAUCUCUCCGGGAUUCUCCAGACAGGCCUUCGCAAAGCUCCUGGAGCAUCGCACCAAGUGUGGAGGACGA